AGAGUUUGAUCAUGGCUCAGAUUGAACGCUGGCGGCGUGCCUAACACAUGCAAGUCGAUCGGUAACAGGUGUAGCAAUACAUGCUGACGAGAGGCGGACGGGUGAGUAACGCUUGGGAAUCUGCCUAUUAGUGGGGGACAACCCGGGGAAACUCGGGCUAAUACCGCAUACGCUCUACGGAGGAAAGCCGGGGACCGCAAGGCCUGGCGCUAAUAGAUGAGCCCAAGUCGGAUUAGCUAGUUGGUAGGGUAAAUGGCCUACCAAGGCGACGAUCCGUAGCUGGUCUGAGAGGACGACCAGCCACACUGGGACUGAGACACGGCCCAGACUCCUACGGGAGGCAGCAGUGGGGAAUAUUGGACAAUGGGGAAACCCUGAUCCAGCGACGCCGCGUGGGUGAAGAAGGCCUGCGGGUUGUAAAGCCCUUUCGGUGGGGAAGAAAAGCCUCGACCUAACACGUCGGGGUAUUGACGUAACCCACAAAAGAAGCACCGGCUAACUCUGUG
Molecule: ribosomal RNA, 506 nt
Filed under: uncultured bacterium
Lineage: Bacteria
Description: bacterial SSU rRNA
Rfam family: Bacterial small subunit ribosomal RNA
Source: RNAcentral